This 325-nucleotide long non-coding RNA is filed under the name Homo sapiens (human). Its description in RNAcentral is "HSALNT0097471". Lineage: Eukaryota; Metazoa; Chordata; Mammalia; Primates; Hominidae. The record is from RNAcentral.
CUGAAAUGGAAAGUUCAGUUGCAUCAACGCUUAAGCCUACAAUGAAGAAUUACUCAAAGAGAAGAACAAUAAAAAACUCACAGAAAGUGUUCAAUAACCUAAAAACAAUAAUCUUAUGUAAAACAAAAAUUUUACAUAAGAACUCAUAACAAAAACUUAAGGGUGUUAGAAGUCAGAGCAUGACGUUAAUAAUAUGAUACAGAGUUGAACGUGAUAGAUCUGGUCAGUAUCAAACUCACUGAAGAAUGGUCAGAAAUUACCUUCACACAAACAGCAACAGAAAGAAAGAUACACGGCUGACAGUUAUUAGAGCUCUGAGCAUACA